This 258-nucleotide ribosomal RNA is filed under the name Klebsiella oxytoca. RNAcentral describes it as "partial 23S ribosomal RNA". It matches the Rfam family "Bacterial large subunit ribosomal RNA", at positions 1289 to 1550 of the family's 2925-position model. The record is from RNAcentral. Lineage: Bacteria; Pseudomonadati; Pseudomonadota; Gammaproteobacteria; Enterobacterales; Enterobacteriaceae.
UGCGAAUGCUGACAUAAGUAACGAUAAUGCGGGUGAAAAACCCGCACGCCGGAAGACCAAGGGUUCCUGUCCAACGUUAAUCGGGGCAGGGUGAGUCGACCCCUAAGGCGAGGCCGAAAGGCGUAGUCGAUGGGAAACAGGUUAAUAUUCCUGUACUUGGUGUUACUGCGAAGGGGGGACGGAGAAGGCUAUGUUGGCCGGGCGACGGUUGUCCCGGUUUAAGCAUGUAGGCGGAUGUUCCAGGUAAAUCCGGAACGU